Molecule: long non-coding RNA, 1002 nt
Organism: Solanum lycopersicum (tomato)
Lineage: Eukaryota; Viridiplantae; Streptophyta; Magnoliopsida; Solanales; Solanaceae
Source: RefSeq, a predicted model, not a curated record
AACUAGGUCAAAUAUGCCAAAGUAACUUGGCCAAAUCUUGCCUAAUUACCCAUUCUCUUCAUUCUAUCCUAGAGUUCAAGAGUUUUUAGCAGUGUUGCCUGUUUCCUUUCUUUCUUAUCAUUUUUACAAAAAUAAUAAGUUUUGUGUCAACCAUGGGCAGAGGUUAGCUAUUUUUGGAUUUGAACUUUCUAAUCUUAUUGUUCGAGUUUGAGAAUAGACCUGCUAAUGAAGCAGCUGAGUUCACAGCCCAACUCAAGGUAUAAACAUGACACAUAUUGAUCAUCGAUGAAGUUGCUCUUAUUUAUUUUGGAUUAACUCUACUAAAGCGUAUUUGUCCUUAACAAUUAUUGAUGUAACUGAAAGUGACAGUUUUGAUCAUAUCAGAUCCAUGCAUAAUGAAACACACCGAGCAUUAAUAAAAGAUGCUCUUAUUUAUUUUGGAACAACUCAAAUAAAGCAUUCCAACUCACAUACUCGUACAUUCAAUGUACUGAUACCAGUUGUUCUGCAUCGUAUUAUGAUGCAGACACUGGUAACGGGGUCGACAUCCAGCGCAGUGGUUAUCCAAUAGAGCACUCCAGAGUCAGUUGGGUUCGGCGAUAUUGACUUUCAUCCUCAUGGCUAGGUUUAUAGUAGAUUAAGAAGAGAAGCUAUGGUGAGUCCUCAUAGCAUUCGAGGACUUGACAACCAUGUCUUUUAUAUUUCUUUUAUGUUUUGAGAUUAUUGUAUGGGUUGUGUCCCAAGAGUUAUUCAAAGUUGUUUUAGAUGGUUUGUGAUUAGGGUAAAGAGACUUCCGCUUUGCUUUUAUAAACACUUCGAUUGUAUUAAAAAUGUUAUAAAUUUUUGUACUCUUCUAUUAUCUUAUGUUAUGAUUUGCUAAGUGGAUUACAUAGAGUCCUUUGGGGUUCUAUGUAUGUUACAUCUAGGGUGUAUCUCUGGGUCGCGACACAUUUAUAGCAACACAUAGCAAUAUCAUGAUAAAUCUAUAGUAUUUAUUAAAAG